This 63-nucleotide transfer RNA is filed under the name Episcapha fortunii. RNAcentral describes it as "tRNA-Asn". Lineage: Eukaryota; Metazoa; Arthropoda; Insecta; Coleoptera; Erotylidae. The record is from RNAcentral.
UUAAUUGAAACCAAAUAGAGGUAUAUCACUGUUAAUGAUAAAAAUGAGACCACUCCAAUUAAU